UAGGCAACGACCCGAAGGGCGAAGCGCGCAGCGCUGAGUCAUCCUUCCCCCACCACCA
RNAcentral lists this small RNA (58 nucleotides) under Salmonella enterica subsp. enterica serovar Chester. RNAcentral describes it as "partial RtT sRNA". It matches the Rfam family "RtT RNA", at positions 74 to 130 of the family's 130-position model. From Rfam's summary of the family: This family represents a bacterial cis-regulatory element known as RtT RNA. The exact function of RtT is unknown although it is thought that it may be involved in changing the cellular response in relation to amino acid starvation. The record is from RNAcentral. Lineage: Bacteria; Pseudomonadati; Pseudomonadota; Gammaproteobacteria; Enterobacterales; Enterobacteriaceae. RNAcentral also lists the same sequence under 1 other name.